AUCAUCCUGCUACUUUACAUUAACACACAAUCUAGUUCCACCCGGGACGCAUCACAGGACACUGUGACAUCUUCAUUACUGGCGGACAGAGCCACCACUGGUGCUGACAUCAACAUUUCCUUCGGCUCUUCAAAGCUCUCUUCACACUGAGUAGACCACACAACCCUCUGGUUCUUCUUGAUCCAUCUGGCCAUAGGAGCGACAACUCUAGAGAAGUUCUAGAUGAACCUCCAG
RNAcentral lists this long non-coding RNA (234 nucleotides) under Manihot esculenta (cassava). Its description in RNAcentral is "long non-coding RNA (MESC_LNC012717)". Lineage: Eukaryota; Viridiplantae; Streptophyta; Magnoliopsida; Malpighiales; Euphorbiaceae. The record is from RNAcentral.